RNAcentral lists this long non-coding RNA (309 nucleotides) under Hordeum vulgare. RNAcentral describes it as "long non-coding RNA (HVUL_LNC004493)". The record is from RNAcentral. Lineage: Eukaryota; Viridiplantae; Streptophyta; Magnoliopsida; Poales; Poaceae.
UGUUGGGGAUAUUUCCGCGGUAUGACCCGCCCUAUUGGGCCGAGUCAGGUGCAUGGCGAUUCAACAUUCAUAAACAAGGUAGGCCUUGUCCCAGGGUCGGAGAGGUGCAAGGAGAACUUCAACGGAGAGCCGGCCGGACCCAUUAACCUAGAUGGCGGUUCAGGACCUACGAAGCAGAUGAGUCGUCGUGGCCGUUUCCUUGCUUGGAAGACACGGCGGGUUAGAGAUAUGGUAGGGCACGAUUUGUAAUGUGGCUUGGACUUUUGUAAGACCUAGGACCUCGACCUGUAUAUAAAGGCGAGUUCCUAG